This 253-nucleotide ribosomal RNA is filed under the name uncultured bacterium. RNAcentral describes it as "partial 16S ribosomal RNA". It matches the Rfam family "Bacterial small subunit ribosomal RNA", at positions 524 to 776 of the family's 1533-position model. The record is from RNAcentral.
UACGUAGGGUGCGAGCGUUGUCCGGAAUUAUUGGGCGUAAAGAGCGCGCAGGCGGUCGAUCAAGUCGAGUGUGAAAGCCCCCGGCUCAACUGGGGAGGGUCAUUCGAUACUGAUCGACUCGAAGGCAGGAGAGGGUAGUGGAAUUCCCGGUGUAGUGGUGAAAUGCGUAGAUAUCGGGAGGAACACCAGUGGCGAAGGCGACUACCUGGCCUGUUCUUGACGCUGAGGCGCGAAAGCUAGGGGAGCAAACGGG